GUGUCAGCCGCCGCGGUAAUACGUAGGUGGCUAGCGUUAUUCGGAAUUAUUGGGCGUAAAGGGCGCGUAGGUGGUCAUGCAAGUCAAACGUGAAAGCCUUUGGCUCAACCAGAGAAUUGCGUUUGAAACUGCAUGACUUGAGUUCGGGAGAGGAAAGUGGAAUUCCCAGUGUAGCGGUGAAAUGCGUAGAUAUUGGGAGGAACACCUGUGGCGAAGGCGACUUUCUGGACCGACACUGACACUGAGGCGCGAAAGCUAGGGGAGCAAACGGGAUUAGAUCCCCGCGUAGUCC
This 292-nucleotide ribosomal RNA is filed under the name uncultured prokaryote. RNAcentral's name for it is "partial 16S ribosomal RNA". It matches the Rfam family "Bacterial small subunit ribosomal RNA", at positions 505 to 796 of the family's 1533-position model. The record is from RNAcentral.